UUGAUUAUUUAGAGUUCACGUAUGACUUUCUCCAAUCAUAUGAUAUCUAAAUAUUUCUUUGCUUUUGCAUUGAUGCAUUUAUUCUUAUAGAGCUGCUCAUGUUUAUUCGGAAGCUCGGAGGGUGCAUGCUUUCAAUGACGUUAUGUCAUCAAAUCUAAGGUUUAGUCACACAAAAUUCUAAAUCAACUGGAUAUGGGUCGCGGGGUCAGUGUGGGUGGUGGUCAACUGGAUAUAUUCUAAGAUCUAUAUAUGAUCUUGCUUGCUUAGAGGAUGAAGUUGAUUUCCUCACAGCUCAAUCAGAGCAAGACUGACUGAAAAGGAAUAAUGUCAAAUUCUGGCAUGUUUUUCGAUCAAAGGAAAUCAAAUUGGCUUUCCUUGUUGGAGGAGGACUUCUGGUAAAAAAGUUCACAAAUGUUUCCGAAACAAUUAUGUAU
Molecule: non-coding RNA, 434 nt
Organism: Arachis ipaensis
Lineage: Eukaryota; Viridiplantae; Streptophyta; Magnoliopsida; Fabales; Fabaceae
Source: RefSeq, a predicted model, not a curated record